AUGGCGGGAUCCGACCGCCCUCGGCCCCCGGCGCGGCCUCAGCCACCGGAUCCGGCCGCCGUCGGCCCCUCAGCGCGGAAUCCCCCCCGCUCGCGCAGCUCAUCGCCGAAUCCGGCGAGAUCCACGCAGGUGCCCCUGUCCCGCGCCGCCGAGGCCCGGGUCGUCCUCCCCCUCUCCGGCAGGGAGGCUCCGUCGAGCAACUCCCCCGCUUGCCACCGGGAUGAGGUCGGUCAGGAGGCAUGCGCUAACGCCCCCUGCUGCCCGCGGCGGAUCCGACGAGCCAACCCACCUCCUCAUCUCCCUCGCGGCAGAUCCGACGAGCUCUAUCACCACGCGCCGGUGGGCGGACCCUCCUCCCUCCUCCACAACCGGCGUCGUGCACAGGCGGCGGCGCCACCGUUUCUCCCAGCCAUCCUCCCCCCCCAGCCACGUCUGGAUGGAUAUGGUCCGCCCGCCGCCAGAUUUGGCCACGCCUUCGACCACGGCGACAUGAUGGGGUGCAGGAUCCAGGGAGGUUUCGGGCGUCAAGAAGCCGUCGACCUCGCCGAAAAUUGCCCUUCCCUCCUCCCGGCCAAUCUCCUCCACCGGAUGCCUCGCACGCUGCUACGCCAGGCGCCGGAUCCCUCGACCAUUGAUGCACCAGGGAUGAGCUCGGCACGUGCACGACUACUGGACUACCUGACCUUGAUCAUCGUGAAGUCAAGACAUAUCUACGAUCUGGGAGGGAUGGAUGACGCGCUGUCGCAGAUUAGCCAGGCGUUCCGGCUCGCCGGCGAGCUCAUGGGUGAGCUCCAGGCCAGCCAGAACGGCCCGGCCUACAUCGCCGCACGCUGCCACGACAUUGUCCAUGCCUACAACAGAGCCAUCCGCAUGUUGCAGCACUACGGCGUGGGCGAGGUGGCCGCAGCCGCGCCGCUGGACAUCCUGCGCCCGUGCAGCACGGAUGAAGCCGGCGCCAGCCAGUUUCUCGGAGAGACUCCGGCGCAUUUGGCCCACCGGAAGGAGCCAUUCCACAUGCCGGCCGGCGUGUUCGGUGCGCGAGUGGCGCCACAGCACACGAUGUGCGCGGGCGCGGGCGUCGGCACGUCCGGUGGCCCGAUGAGGAGGCUGCCGUCGUCCAGGUCUCCGCCAGCGGUCCAGCCACGGCAGGGCAGGAGGAGGAGGGAAAGCGGGAAGAGGGAGACGGUGUUGGUACCUGCACAGCGGACGGGCAACACCGAACUGCCACCAGACGACGGGUACACGUGGCGCAAGUACGGCCAAAAAGACAUUCUCGGCUCUAAGUACCCAAGGAGCUACUAUCGGUGCACUCAUAAGAACUACUAUGGUUGUGACGCGAAGAAGAAGGUGCAACGCUUGGACGACAACCCCUUCAUGUACGAGGUGACAUACUGUGGCGACCAUAGCUGCCUCACUUCCACCACCCCGCUACUCAUCCUCCCCACAGCUAGCACCACAACCUCUGCUGCCAACUCUCCGACUGCCGCAACAGGCUCCGGCCUCCCCACCAGAGACCUCCCCAUGGAAGCGGCCAAGCAGACGCACUCGGCCACGCCAGUCAAGCUCGGCAUUAGUUGGAUGCCGGCAAGCUUCCAAGGCAUUUUGGCAGGCUCUGUCACUGGCAUGGGGACCAUCGCCAACAUGAAGAUGAACGUGUCCACGACACCAAGGGACACGGAUUACCCGACGCUGGACCUCGCGGACGUCAUGUUCAACUUCAGCGGCAGCAUGGACGACAUCUUCUCUUCUUAUGAUCGACAUGAUACAUAG
RNAcentral lists this ribosomal RNA (1770 nucleotides) under Triticum aestivum (bread wheat). RNAcentral describes it as "partial small subunit ribosomal RNA". Lineage: Eukaryota; Viridiplantae; Streptophyta; Magnoliopsida; Poales; Poaceae. The record is from RNAcentral.